RNAcentral lists this ribosomal RNA (1125 nucleotides) under uncultured bacterium. RNAcentral's name for it is "bacterial SSU rRNA". It matches the Rfam family "Bacterial small subunit ribosomal RNA", at positions 202 to 1367 of the family's 1533-position model. The record is from RNAcentral.
UAAAGUGUUCUUGCAAGAAGAUGGGUCCAUGUAGGAUUAGGUUGUUGGUAAGGUUGUGGCUUACCAAGCCGAUGAUCCUUAGUUGGUCUGAGAGGAUGGUCAACCACACUGGAACUGUGACAAGGUCCAGACUCUUUUUGGAGGCAGCAGUAGGGAAUAUUGGACAAUGUGAGAAAUCAUGAUCCAGCAAUGUCACGUGAGUGAUUGAAGCUCGUUUUGGGUGUAAAGCUCUUUCGUCAAGAACGAUGUUGACGGUACUUGAAUAAGAAGUCCCGGCUAACUCUGUGCCAACAGCCGCGGUAAUACAGAGGGGGCAAGCGUUAUUCUUCAUUACUGGGCGUACAGGGUAGGUAGGCGGAAAGGAUAGUUCGGUGUAAAAAACUGCGUGGCGUAGUGUGCAUCUGAAAACUUUUUUUCUUGAGUCUAGCAGAGGAUAGCAGAAUUCUUGAUGUAACGUUAAUAUGUUUAGAUAUCAGGAGGAAUUCCAUGUGCGAAGGCGGCUGUCUAUGUUAGCACUGACGUUGAUCUACGAAAGCAUGGGGAUCAAACGGGAUUAGAGACCCCAGUAGUCCAUGCUGUAAAUGAUGAGUAUUAGACAUAUUUUGUCUAAGUUAACACGUUAAAUACUCCGCCUGGGGAGUACGAUCGCAAGAUUGAAACUCAAAGGAAUUGACGGGAAUCUACACAAGCGGUGGAGCAUGUGGUUUAAUGCGACGAUACGCGCAAAAUCUUACCAACCCUUGUAUGUUUGUAAACGCGUUUUUCGGUUAUGCGUAAGACGUUCUCAAACACAGGUGUUGCAUGGUUGUCGUCAGCUCGUGUUGUGAAAUGUUAGGUUAGGUCCUUGAACGAGCGCAACCCCUAUUUUCAGUUGUAGUGUUUUCUGGAAACAUUUUUCUGGAAAAACUGCUUGUGAAUAACAAGAGGAAGGUGGGGCAGACGUCAAAUCCGCACGACCCUUAUGGGUUGGGCUACACAUGUGCUACAAUGAUAAUUACAAUGGAUUAGUGUUUUGUAAAUUACACUGUAUCUUCUAAAAAUUAUCCAAGUUCGGAUUAUUCACUGAAACUCGUGAAUAUGAAGUUGUAAUCGCUAGUAAUCGUAGAUUAGUACGCUACGGUGAAU